RNAcentral lists this long non-coding RNA (214 nucleotides) under Elaeis guineensis (African oil palm). RNAcentral describes it as "long non-coding RNA (EGUI_LNC072502)". Lineage: Eukaryota; Viridiplantae; Streptophyta; Magnoliopsida; Arecales; Arecaceae. The record is from RNAcentral.
AAAUAAUAUAAUAUAAAUAAAAGAUCUAGAGAAGGUAGAUUACUGCUUACCUCACAUGUACUCCAACAAAUCCACAUAAUUUUUUGAAGCUUCUUCAAAACCUAACAUCCAAAAUUGUCUAGCCCUAGGUAAGGAAGGCUUAGGCUAAUAUUUUUGUGAACUCUCAAAUACAAUAUGACGUAGAGGAUUUCUCUUAGUACUAUAAUUAAGCCCC